UCUAUUUUUCAAGGAAUACAAAUCUCUUUAAUAAUUAGAUAUUUUUAUCAUUCUCUUUUCUCUUUAAACUGAGCAGGGAGCUGUAUGUGAGCCUUGAUCCCAGGAACCUGAGAUCAUGACCUGAGCUGAAGGUAGACGCUUAGCUGACUGAACCACCCAGAACGCUUGAAUUGGAUCUUGUGACUGGAAACAUUAACUCUCUGUGUUGAUCACCUGGAGACCUGUUUUCAAUCCUCUGAAGAUCGCCAAGUGAAGGCCUACCCCUUGAAAGUCUUAAAAGUAGAAUCUUUCAGGCUGUAAAGAUUCAAGAGCCCGGGAUGUCCUGCGUGGAGUACUUCUGGCCUCAGCCACCCAGAUUAUACUUUCCUAGGAAGACUACCACAGUAUGUCUCAUUGUGAUCUUGUGAUGUGACAUUAUAAAUCCUCUCAUCCAGAGCUGAGGGUCUCUGUUCCCUUCCUGAACCAGGGUGGACCCUUGUGAUUACCUCGACCAGGGAAGCAGAGGAGACCUUAUGUAACUUCUAUGGCUAGGUCAUAAAAUGUACUCAAGAUCUCUCUUCUUGGAGUGGCUUUAUUAGUUUUUGCUGUUCAAUAAACUCUCGUUUAUCCUUUAAGACUGAGAAGACAUAUCACUGCUUUGAAGAGCUUUCU
Long non-coding RNA from Canis lupus familiaris (dog), 651 nucleotides. RefSeq lists it as uncharacterized. The transcript is spliced from 3 exons. The record is from RefSeq and is a predicted model, not a curated record. Lineage: Eukaryota; Metazoa; Chordata; Mammalia; Carnivora; Canidae.